AGAGUUUGAUCCUGGCUCAGGACGAACGCUGGCGGCGUGCUUAACACAUGCAAGUCGAACGGAAAGGCCCUUCGGGGUACUCGAGUGGCGAACGGGUGAGUAACACGUGGGUGAUCUGCCCUGCACUUUGGGAUAAGCCUGGGAAACUGGGUCUAAUACCGAAUAGGACCACGCGCUUCAUGGUGUGUGGUGGAAAGCUUUUGCGGUGUGGGAUGGGCCCGCGGCCUAUCAGCUUGUUGGUGGGGUAAUGGCCUACCAAGGCGACGACGGGUAGCCGGCCUGAGAGGGUGACCGGCCACACUGGGACUGAGAUACGGCCCAGACUCCUACGGGAGGCAGCAGUGGGGAAUAUUGCACAAUGGGCGCAAGCCUGAUGCAGCGACGCCGCGUGAGGGAUGACGGCCUUCGGGUUGUAAACCUCUUUCACCAGGGACGAAGCGCAAGUGACGGUACCUAUAGAAGAAGCACCGGCCAACUACGUGCCAGCAGCCGCGGUAAUACGUAGGGUGCGAGCGUUGUCCGGAAUUACUGGGCGUAAAGAGCUCGUAGGUGGUUUGUCGCGUUGUUCGUGAAAACUCACAGCUUAACUGUGGGCGUGCGGGCGAUACGGGCAGACUAGAGUACUGCAGGGGAGACUGGAAUUCCUGGUGUAGCGGUGGAAUGCGCAGAUAUCAGGAGGAACACCGGUGGCGAAGGCGGGUCUCUGGGCAGUAACUGACGCUGAGGAGCGAAAGCGUGGGGAGCGAACAGGAUUAGAUACCCUGGUAGUCCAA
Molecule: ribosomal RNA, 773 nt
Filed under: uncultured bacterium
Lineage: Bacteria
Description: bacterial SSU rRNA
Rfam family: Bacterial small subunit ribosomal RNA
Source: RNAcentral